GGGACUGCUUAAGUCUACCUGCCCACUGAAUUUUAAAUGGCCGCAGUAUAUUAACUGUGCAAAGGUAGCAUAAUCAUUAGUCUUUUAAUUGAAGGCUGGUAUGAAUGGUUGGACGAAAUAUUAACUGUUUCAAAUGAAUUUUUAAUAGAAUUUUAUUUUUUAGUUAAAAAGCUAAAAUUUGUUUAAAAGACGAGAAGACCCUAUAAAUCUUUAUUUUUAAAUUUAUUUUGAUUAUAAAGAAUUUUUGUAUUUAGAUAGAUUUAAAAAUUUUAUUGGGGUGAUAUUAAAAUUUAAUAAACUUUUAAUUUGUUAAAACAUUGAUUUAUGAAUAGUUGAUCCAAUUUUAUUGAUUAAAAAUUUAAGUUACUUUAGGGAUAACAGCGUAAUUUUUUUGGAGAGUUCAUAUCGAUAAAAAAGAUUGCGACCUCGAUGUUGGAUUAAGAGAUAUAUUUAGGUGUAGCCGCUUAAAUGUUAAGUCUGUUCGACUUUUAAAUUCUUACGUGAUCUGUUUU
RNAcentral lists this ribosomal RNA (512 nucleotides) under Sapromyza obsoleta. RNAcentral's name for it is "partial 16S ribosomal RNA". It matches the Rfam family "Bacterial large subunit ribosomal RNA", at positions 1888 to 2611 of the family's 2925-position model. The record is from RNAcentral. Lineage: Eukaryota; Metazoa; Arthropoda; Insecta; Diptera; Lauxaniidae.